RNAcentral lists this ribosomal RNA (294 nucleotides) under uncultured prokaryote. RNAcentral's name for it is "partial 16S ribosomal RNA". The record is from RNAcentral.
CCCUAUGGGGUGCAGCAGGACAUGGUUGAGAACCGAGCCAAGCCCGUAUUUUUUCUGACCACCCGAUUCAGCGGCGACUUCAACGGCCUCGGAGAUGGCAAUCCCCAGCGAACCAGGAUGGUUCGGGUCUUUUUCCAGGUAGGACUGGCCAAUUUUCGUAUGGGCCGACGGGCUUGGGCCGAUUUGCGCGCCAUAGGUUUGCAUGCUGAUGCGGCGGUAAGGCUUAGCCAGGUACGAGGAAUUGACCAUGUACACUUCCACGCUAAUGUCGAACAUCUGGCCGGCCAUGGCCAG